Musa acuminata AAA Group (dessert banana) is the source of this 497-nucleotide long non-coding RNA. RefSeq lists it as uncharacterized. NCBI's taxonomy places the organism in Eukaryota, Viridiplantae, Streptophyta, Magnoliopsida, Zingiberales, Musaceae. The record is from RefSeq and is a predicted model, not a curated record. The transcript has 2 exons.
CCUCAAAGCAUUGAGCUUCGCCGACACCUUUGAUUCUUCUUCUUCUUCUAAUAGGUCAACCGAUGACUCAGAAGAGUUCUAAUAAUUAUGGGUGAUAGAAAUCAUACAUCAGCAUCCACAAGAUCAUCGAAUCCCUUCAGCAAUUUGUGUUGAGCUGAGAACCAGCAGUGCACUCAAGCUGUGUGUGAUAGGUGGGUGCUUCUCGAGGGAUGUUGAUGUCCUGCUUCCGAGCCAAUAUGUGGUUCUUGGAUUACUGUUAUCCUUAUCAAGUUUGAAGGAUGCAUCUCUCUCUCUCUCUUUCCUUCCUUUUGUUUUUCUCUUAGCGACUUCUCUUUCCAACUCAGCCAAUCACUAGUGCGACUAUAAGAACUCACUAUAUCUCCACCAGCAAAUUGAGCCUCUCUCUUUUUCUCGAAGAAAAGUGAGAGCGGCACCUUUGUUAUCGUCAUGGAAAGAUUCAGAAGGUUGUAUAAAUAGAAGAAAGCAAUUAGAGUUGA